CUAAAGCAAUGUACGCCAUGGCUGACGCAGCCCGAACAGCGGCGCUCUACGCCGCGGUGGUCCUGGUCCUCCUCUGCACCGUCGCGCUUCCGUCUGCGGCAUGAUGGAGCAAGGGUCACAUGGCCGUCGCCCUCAUUGCGCAGCGCCACAUGGACCCGAAGCUGGUGAAGAAGGCUAAUGCCGCGGCCAAGGUGUUCUCCCUCGCUGGUCCCUUCCCCAAGUCGCCGGAUAUGGUACAGCUGGGGCCGUGGGCCGACGAUCUGCUCGAGUCCGGCCUAAAGACGAACUUCAACUGGCACUUCAUAACGGCACCAUACUAUCCGGACGCGGACUUUACUCUCGAGCUCAGCCCGGCGCAGACGGUGAAUGCUGCCUCCGUCAUUCCAAUGUUGGAGUCUGCGAUCAGGAAAACGACAGCGACGACUGAGAUUAUUACGCAGUGCUUGGCGUUUAUGGUUCACUUGUUCGGCGACAUACACCAGCCUCUGCACAACGCAAACUUAUUCUCCGAUGAGUACCCUCUAGGCGACUACGGCGGCAAUGCGCAGAUGGUGACCAUCGAUUCUAAUGGAGCCAAGAUGCUGCUGCACGCGUACUGGGAUUCGAUGGCGGAAGGGCCGGCCAGUGUGGGCUACCCACGGCCGUUGAGCAAGGACGCCUACGAAGACCUGAAGGCGUUCGUCGACUAUCUGGAAGCGACAUAUGCAGGCAACUUAACGACGGCGGAGAAGAACCUUCAGAACACGACGGCGAUUCGGAACGAGGGGUAUGAGCUGGCGAUCAAGUAUGCGUUUCCUGGAGCCUCCAACGGCGCCACGCUCUCCAACGAGUACAAGACGAACGCCAAGAAGAUCUCGGAGCGUCAGGUGCUGCUUGCCGGCUACCGCCUGGCCAAGAUGCUGAACACGACGCUGAAGUCAGUGAGCAUGGACACUAUUCUGCAGGGGCUCGGCAACAUCCAGGCAGAGGUGCCGCGGCUUGACAACACCACCAUUGGGCACACCUUUCAGGAGAAGGGGCUCAGCACCGGCCUCACGGUGGGCAUUGCCAUUGCUCUCUUCAUCGCCGGAGUGCUCAUCUCUACCGUCGUGGUACUCUUCCUGAAUCGCCCGCGCCUGGUGCGCAGCGACUAUCAGCGAUGCGAGCCGAUCGCACUGGAUUUAUAAGCCAGUCUGCCGCAGUGACCGCCGUGUUUGGAAGGCUUGCAAUUUCCGGCAGUGGCAUGUCUGCAAAGAGGAGUUCCGCGUCCUUGAAAGCAACCACGCAGCCACUUUUCUUUUGUUUGUUUGGAGGCGGUGUGCCCCGGCUGAAUGUGACGCAAGCGUAAACGACGCCGCGCUCAUCCGAUGCAAGGGCGACACCCUUACUUAUAUUUUUUUCAUCUGCUGUUAUUUUUUUCUUCGUUGCGGCUCAUCGAAGCACUUGAGGCAGAGCCACUGAUCGAAGCUGUCUCUUGUAGAGGCUCUUCCGCUUUUCUUCCAGGUCGACGCUCUCCGCCACUUUACGCAUGAGACUCGCUGCGGUGUACGUCCUGUUUCGCCGCCAUCCGUCGCACGUCUUCAGCUCUACAUUCUCUACGUCAGCCAGUGAUUUCGAAGCCAUCUCCUGUUGCGCCCCGCGUGGCAGACUCGAAAACAGACGCGCAGCCUUGGCGAGUGGCCCUUCGUGGAGUGCAUCCGCAACGCCUUCGAGCCACCACUGCUCACUGAUAUUUGUCGUCUUAUCAUCAUGGCAGAAGGUCAGACCUCGGUGCGUGGUAUCGCAGGGUCCAGUGCCCCUCCCAAACUCUGUGCCAGGCAGUCAAUCAGCCCCUCACCCCACCCCUUAACCCUGCCAAUGCUGAACCACCUCUGGUGGUGACAAGGUCAAGCACCAACGGGCUGGGGCGGCCAGGGCGAUGUAUCGCUGCUGAUGUUGGCGUUCAGGUCCUGGCUGACGUGGCGUCGGCGGGGCCGGCGACCGUGCACGCGUUUCUCUCACUUAUAUGAUGCGCGAAGUGUCAGGGGAACUCGAGUGUACCCCACGCCCCGCCCUCGCGCUGCGUGCUGGUGUGCGGAGCCGGCGUGUCACCCCGAGGAGGGGGAUGCACCAGGGGGUGGCGGCCGGCACAGUGGGAGCGGCUGUUAGGAGGCGGGUGAGCUGAGCUCGAGGCAGGGACCGUUCGCUGAGAUGCCCGAGCCGGCGCAUCUGCUGUAGCGCGCGUCUACCGCUGCCAUCGCACCACGCAGAUGGGGGGCUGUGGGGCUUGGUGACAGGUCAGAUGGGUAUAGUGGCGUUCACAUCAUGCUCUGUGGCGUAGUGGACACGCUGGGCAAUGAACUGCUUCUGUGGCCCCUACCCAUGAGCCGCUUUAGGUUUUCUUCUUUCUCGUUGACCAUGUCGCAAACGCUUUAUUUUUUCUCCUAGUCCUGCUGCAGGUCUGGCGGAGAACCGACGAGCAGACGGGAGUGGUGAAUCCACUGCCCUAGACCUGCAUCGUCCUUGCUGAUGAAACGGGGGCUACAGUAGAGGGUGAGAAAAACGGAUACUGGAAUGCGCAGCUCUGUCACGACAUCACCUGACCCUUGAGUGUUUUCGUCGGAGGAGGAGACUGAGAGAUCAAAGGCUUCCUAUGUAGCGAGCUACUUGCAGGGCAUGUUUCCACUUUCAAGGAUGUCAUCGUCCUCAAUGUUCUUCUCCGCCCAUACACUCCUGGGCUUCUGCUUACAG
RNAcentral lists this unclassified non-coding RNA (2709 nucleotides) under Leishmania donovani. RNAcentral describes it as "gene:LdHU3.31.4230(CDS-product:3'-nucleotidase/nu clease-_putative)". Lineage: Eukaryota; Euglenozoa; Kinetoplastea; Trypanosomatida; Trypanosomatidae. The record is from RNAcentral.